RNAcentral lists this ribosomal RNA (580 nucleotides) under Streptomyces sp. SCAUEA24. RNAcentral's name for it is "bacterial SSU rRNA". It matches the Rfam family "Bacterial small subunit ribosomal RNA", at positions 112 to 705 of the family's 1533-position model. The record is from RNAcentral. Lineage: Bacteria; Bacillati; Actinomycetota; Actinomycetes; Kitasatosporales; Streptomycetaceae.
AACACGUGGGCAAUCUGCCCUGCACUCUGGGACAAGCCCUGGAAACGGGGUCUAAUACCGGAUACUGAUCGCCUUGGGCAUCCUUGGUGAUCGAAAGCUCCGGCGGUGCAGGAUGAGCCCGCGGCCUAUCAGCUUGUUGGUGAGGUAAUGGCUCACCAAGGCGACGACGGGUAGCCGGCCUGAGAGGGCGACCGGCCACACUGGGACUGAGACACGGCCCAGACUCCUACGGGAGGCAGCAGUGGGGAAUAUUGCACAAUGGGCGAAAGCCUGAUGCAGCGACGCCGCGUGAGGGAUGACGGCCUUCGGGUUGUAAACCUCUUUCAGCAGGGAAGAAGCGAAAGUGACGGUACCUGCAGAAGAAGCGCCGGCUAACUACGUGCCAGCAGCCGCGGUAAUACGUAGGGCGCGAGCGUUGUCCGGAAUUAUUGGGCGUAAAGAGCUCGUAGGCGGCUUGUCGCGUCGGUUGUGAAAGCCCGGGGCUUAACCCCGGGUCUGCAGUCGAUACGGGCAGGCUAGAGUUCGGUAGGGGAGAUCGGAAUUCCUGGUGUAGCGGUGAAAUGCGCAGAUAUCAGGAGGA